RNAcentral lists this long non-coding RNA (433 nucleotides) under Salmo salar (Atlantic salmon). Its description in RNAcentral is "lncRNA (ENSSSAG00000083299.1, ENSSSAG00000120980.1)". The record is from RNAcentral. Lineage: Eukaryota; Metazoa; Chordata; Actinopteri; Salmoniformes; Salmonidae.
AAGGAGGGGAAAUAAUUCACACCAUGCAGCAGGACACCUUCAGCUGCGGGGUUUUUGUAAUGCAGAUGGCCAAGGAAGUUGCACAGAACUUCCCCAACAUCCCCUCCCAAAUUGAUAUGGAACUUUCAAAAACACAUGGAGCAACUGCGAAAAGAAAUGGCUGAGGAUAUGCUAAAAAUGUCUGAGUUCAACAAAGCCAACUGCUUCAUGUGUGCCACUGAUAAAGAACCUGGAUGUGGCCCAAAGACUGACUGGGGCUAGGAACCCUCCAUGUUCAGGACCCUACCCAGGGCUGGCAUCUCUCAGCCUGUGGAUCUUCUCUUCUAUCCUGGCUGUAUGCUGGCUCUUCUCCUGCACCUCCUUCUCCACCUCCCUCCGAUUCCUGACCUCGUCUGACAGAUGAAUUACCUUUAAUACAAAGAAACACAGAAAA